GUAAAAUAUGAUAUUAAGAAAAAAAAUGAUGUUUAUUAUUUUUACUAAAAUUCCGAUGAAACUUUUAACCUGAUUGCUUGAAAAAAUUAUUAAAAAAUAUGUUAAAAAUUCAAUGUAUUUUCAUUUUAUCAAAAAAAUAGUUGAUAAUAAAAAAAAAACGAUAAAGGGUUUUAUCGAUGACAUGAAUUCCUCUCGGCGCUCUGAAUUCAAACAGGAUAGUCAAACAAUUCAACGAAAAAUAAUGCAAGAAUCAACAUCAGAAUCUUCAGAUUCAACACAAGUUGAUAAUAAAAAAUCAAAAAAUCAUGUUAAAUUGAAAAAAAAUUUGUCGAUGCAGUCAAGUUUAAAUUCUACAUCUAAAUUGGAAGAUCCAAUGAUGUCAUGCUGGAUGGCAGAAGUUGAAGAACCCACAUCGAUUCGAAACAGCUUCAAGUCCCAUGAGAGCAGUACUGUAGUAUCACCGACACCCAUAGAGAGUUGUUUCAACUGUCCAAAGGAUACGCCCAGCCUUGUGGAUGAAUCUGUUCACUCUACUGUAAUUGGAUCCGAUGAUUUAACCAAGAAAGAACGGAACAGAAAGGAAUUCUAUUACACAGUUAAAGCUAAAGUGGAAAAAGCUGUCAAUGAACAUAAAAUCUUUCUGAUCCGUGGAGAAUUACCAAUGUUAAUAAAAGCCUUAGAGGAUAGAGGAUGGAUACAAAAAUAUGAAUCAGUUAAAACUAGAAUGAAACCAUAUAAUAGUACUGUAAAUACAAAUGAAAUAUCAUUUGAUGAUAUAAAAUUAGAUGACUAUGAUUUUAAUGAAAAAACAUUGAUAUAUUCAUUUUUAAGUAAAAUACCACCUGAUUUUAUUUGGGAUUGUCGUAAUGAUUUUGUCGAGUGGGAUUUGUCAAUUGAAAAUCAUGUGUUUUUAAAUAGAUUCCAGAGACCUUCUGUAUAUACAUCAAAACUGGGAAUGGCACAAGUACUUGAAGAUGCAAAAUGGCACUAUGAGGAAAAUGUAUCAAGUGUAAUAUUUCCAAGAAGUUACAAUCCAAGUCGUGAUGUUAAAGAUUUUUUAGAUGAUUUUCGUCGUACAGCUGCUGUUGGUCUUUUAAAGUGGUUCCUUAAUUCAUUUCGAGAAGCCGAUGUGAAACAUAGAAACCUGCCAAUUUCAGUUAGCUGUUUAGAAUUUGCUGUAAAACGAUGUGAGGAAUACUUGGAUGAUGAUGAUGAUAUACAAGACAAUGUAGAUGAAACUGAUAUCAACAAGGUUACUGAAGAUGAGUGGAAAAUUUUCCUCGAGAAUUAUUCGCAGGCAGUACAUCAUGGUAGUGAUUCUGUCAAUGAUGAAGAAAAUAAGCAAGCAAGACUCGAGAAAUGUUAUUUAUCUACAUGUAAAAUACUGGAAAAAAUGCAAAAUAUUGAUCCACAAUAUGAAAUUAAUGGAACUAAAAAUAUAUGGAUAUUAAAACCGAGUAAUCUUUGUUGUGGUAAUGGUAUUAUUAUGUCUCAUUGUAUUGAUGAUAUUUUACGUAGAGUUAAUGCUAAACCAAAAAAUUAUUAUGCUGUACAAAAAUAUAUUGAAAAACCACUUUUGAUCCGUGGUACAAAGUUUGACAUCAGAGUGUGGUAUCUUGUGACCUGUACAUUUCCUUUGACAAUUUGGAUUUUUGAAGAAGCGCUAUUACGAUUCAGCUCGCAGACCUAUAACAUUUCAAGCUACCAUGAGGCGAUUCAUCUUUGUAAUACUGCCAUUCAGCAAAAAUACGACUAUGAAAAACGACGAAGAAGAAGACGGGGUUAUACUGAUGAAACGACGGAAUCAAUUCGUGAUCAAGGAUGGGAUUGCACAAUGCUGAACGAAUAUUUAAAAAAUAUUGGAUACGAGGGUGAACCUUAUUACGAUGAAGUUUAUCAAAAAAUGACAGAAUCAAUUAUUUUGAUGAUGUUGGCAUCACAAGAACACAUGGACCGCAGAAAAUAUACUUUUGAACUUUAUGGUGCUGAUUUUAUGGUGAUGGAUGAUCUUUCAGUUUGGCUUAUUGAAAUCAAUACCAAUCCGCGAAUGCAUCCACCAAGUUCAAAAAUCACUCAACGAUUGUACGACAACGUACUCGAGAGUCUGGUUAAAGUGUUAAUGGAUUUACCAAAUAAUCCAAAUGCUGAUACUGGUGGUUUUCGACAAGUUUACAAGCAACAUGUUUCGGAUUUUGAACCGUAUCUUGGUCCAGGACUCAUUGUCAUGGGAAAACGUAUGACACUUCAUGAGCAUCAGACAGAUGAUAAUGAAAAUACAAGUAAAAUAAAUAUUUGUAGUACAUCAACCAGACAGAAUCGUGCUCAAACCGCACCACCCACAAUUGCACGACGACUGAGAGAUUCAAAGAUUGUUGAUUUUGUUGACUGUUUGGAUGAAGGAAAAAUAGAUAAAUGAGAAAAUUUUGAAGAUAAAAAUUGCAAAAAUAUUUCUACGAAAGAAAGGAAAAAAAAUUGAAAAUUUCGAAGUCAUUUAAUUCUUUAACAGCGUGAUAAAAGUGUUGUAAAAAAAGAGACCAUCACGUUUGCUCAUAUCAUAAUCACUGCCGGCUGAUUCUGAAAAUUGUACUUUAUCUGCAGACUUGGCAUUACUUGAAGCACACGGAUUGCAGAAUAACCAAGUUGUGAAACAACAUAGCCAAUUUCAUCAUAAGUUUUUUGCGUAAAACUUGGACUAUACAUUUAAG
Molecule: unclassified non-coding RNA, 2705 nt
Filed under: Aphidius gifuensis
Lineage: Eukaryota; Metazoa; Arthropoda; Insecta; Hymenoptera; Braconidae
Description: tubulin glycylase 3A-like, transcript variant X3
Source: RNAcentral